Molecule: long non-coding RNA, 651 nt
Organism: Canis lupus familiaris (dog)
Lineage: Eukaryota; Metazoa; Chordata; Mammalia; Carnivora; Canidae
Exons: 4
Source: RefSeq, a predicted model, not a curated record
CUGCCAGGCCUGCAGAACAUCAGGGAAACUAUCCUAAGCUUUCUGUCUUACUAAAGGGAGAGGAGAUCCAACCUGAGGCUUUCUCUUCUUUGCCUCCUUGGAUUUUAUUGAUACCCAGCUGCCUCUUCCAAAAAACGAGGAUAGCAAUCUACACCUGCCUUGGUGCAGAGGAUGACACCAGAUUGUUUCUCAAGAUCUCUCCCAGUUCUGAUGAAACAAAACUGAACAGAGGAGUGGAAGCUACCAGCAAGCUGGGCAAGAGGAAUCAAGAGCCUGUGGUGUCCAAGAGCCUUCUUGGUUGGUACCCAUGAAAGCAGAUUGCCAAGUGUGGCAUCUGCAGAAGAAAUGUGAGAUCCUAACAGUGUCUGACAGUAGUAAUAUCAGCCUCGAGCCCUUUGGUAAUUCCAUCCCAGGUAAUACUGCUGCUGCUCAUCCAGGACCACACUUUGAGAGACACUGUGAGAGAAGGAAUUUGAAAGUAAUGGAGGUAGGCAGACCUCUCAAUAUUUGGUGGAAAAGAAAGAAAAGAAAAUCCUGGUUCAGACAAGGAGGCCAAGAGUGAGGGAAGAGCCAGAAAUAGUUCUGUACAGGGUAUGUAAGAGAGGUCAGCAUUGCUACAAAUGAAUUAAACCCACCCAAGUGAGAGCUUAU